GAUGAAGAACGCAGCGAAAUGCGAUAAGUAAUGUGAAUUGCAGAAUUCAGUGAAUCAUCGAAUCUUUGAACGCACAUUGCGCCCGCCAGUAUUCUGGCGGGCAUGCCUGUCUGAGCGUCAUUUCAACCCUCAUGCCCCUAGGGCGUGGUGUUGGGGAUCGGCCAAAGCCCGCAAGGGACGGCCGGCCCCUAAAUCUAGUGGCGGACCCGUCGUGGCCUCCUCUGCGAAGUAGUGAUAUUCCGCAUCGGAGAGCGAUGAGCCCCUGCCGUUAAACCCCCAACUUUCCAAGGUUGACCUCAGAUCAGGUAGGAAUACCCGCUGAACUUAAGCAUAUCAAUAAGCGGAGGA
RNAcentral lists this unclassified non-coding RNA (348 nucleotides) under soil metagenome. RNAcentral's name for it is "partial contains 5.8S ribosomal RNA, internal transcribed spacer 2, and large subunit ribosomal RNA". The stretch from base 1 to 120 matches the Rfam family "5.8S ribosomal RNA", at positions 35 to 154 of the family's 154-position model. The record is from RNAcentral.